Molecule: RNA transcript, 505 nt
Organism: Phalaenopsis equestris
Lineage: Eukaryota; Viridiplantae; Streptophyta; Magnoliopsida; Asparagales; Orchidaceae
Exons: 2
Source: RefSeq, a predicted model, not a curated record
GUCGCCAUUUUCCUUUAACCGCAAGCGGGGAAUGGAGCCCCGCGACCUCCUGGAAGAAAUUCGCGGCUUUCUACGUUUUAAGGUAGCAAUGGCGCCCCUACACUUAACCAUCCGCUUGAAAUCCGGCAGGGAAUUCUUUGCACCGCUCCUAUGGCCAGAACUCGCGUUCGUGACUCCUAGGAAGAGGAGCAAAUGCGAGAGUUAUAAUUUGAUGGAGUAUUGUCAACAAAAUAUGCCCAUCCUUCAAACCUUCUGAGGGCAUAAGCUAGCGUCAUUUUUAACUUCAUACGUUUAAAAGGGAUAAUUAGAUAUUCAGUUGGCUUGAUUGAACCUAAAACAAUAAUGAAAUUUAAUGCGAGGCCUUGGUGACAAGUCUCUGGAUAGCCAUUAUAGUAGGGACUAAGAAGAGUUUUUAAAUCCUUCGCAGUUAUCAACUCAUUGUAAAUCAAGUAUCUGACACACAAUUGUAAAUCAAGUAUCUGACAUACAAAAUUAGCUUGGUUGA